CUUCCAAUGUGAAAGUCAGGACUUGCCCCAGGGCCUUCCAGCCCGAGUCGUCUAUAUUUGGCCUCACGAGGCUCCGUUUGCUCUGAGAGACUCAUCCACACCUGGUGGCGAUUACUCAGCGAGCAGCGGAGAUCAGCAGCGCAGAGGAGAGGUGCUCUGGAAGCCUGCAUUUAUCCCUACAGCCCCCCUCCCCGCCUCCCCCCCCGCCUCCCCCUCCCGGCCUCCCCCAUCCCCCAAUGCUCCUCCCUCCUCCUCCUCCCCUUCCCUCCUCUCCUUCCCUUGCCUUCUCCCCUCCUCCCAAGGUCGGGCGGCCCUGCCCUCCGUAGUCAUCCUCUGCAGAUUCCUGCCGGUUUAACCAACCUAGAGGGCGGACCCCGCGGAGUGGGACCCCUUCUCGGGAGGGACUUUGGGGCCGGCUCGCUCAGCCUAUUUUCUCAACCCUUCCCUUCACUGACUCCUGUCGACACAGGCUUCGUGGGCUCCAGGUAUUCUAGGAGGAAACUGGAAGUGUGUGAGUCAGGCUGAGUUCUAAAGAUAGCCUCUUAAUCCUGAAGAACCCUGUGCUUGAAAUGACUGUUUUGGGGAGAAAAAGUAACUUUUGGGAAGGAAUAAAAGAAGACUGAGAAUGAACUACUUGGGAUCCAGAACUUUGCAGGCAGUGCGUGUGUGCGCGUGUGUGCCCGUGUGCAAACGUGACCGUGGGCGCACACGCUAGACUUGUCCUGGAAAGCGCUUACAGGUCGGAACCCUACAGUCUUGCUCUUGUCAGCUGUGGACCUUAGACAUGCUCUCAUGGCCAUGGACUUCAUUUUCGUCUGCUGGAAAAGAAGAUUAAUAAGCCUGGAUUUCUAGGAAGAAGAACCGAGAUCACUGAUUUGUGGAAGGCACCGAGUUCAGCCAAUGGCUAUCACGACGGAUGAUUAUAGGAAAAGCUCUUCCCCAAGAAAACCCCAAGCAAAAAUGUUCCGUCACCAUAUACACCUGCAUGGUAGUUUCUAGUCUCGAAGGCGUGCGAAACCCUUCCUCCAGGGACCACCACCAGCCAACUAGGAGCUGGCCACUGCCGGAAAAGAGACAGAAACCAAAGCUAUGUCGUUCUGCCCCAAAGGGAGGACUCCCUCCCACAUCAUGGCCUGGGACUGGGACUUCAGCCCCUGGAAGGGGACACCAUGCGGAUGAACAUCCUUCCCCUUCGCUCCUCCAUGGGAACAUUUUGCAAACCUACAUGCACAACCGGGAUGUCAGCAUUGACACAAUGCACUGACCGUGUCCAGAUACCCCCUAUUUUCCUUGUACCCCUCACAGCGUACAAGUGUACUAGUCACCAGCAUCUCUAGACAGUCUCAUGACUGCUAGACUCUGAACCCCAUUUGCUCAGUUUUGCUGAUUAGUGGUAGCUUCUUGUUAUAUACCCUCGCAGAGAUUUUUCCUUCAAACAGAAAUACGCCUCCUUCCCAUCUCACACACACUUUCCCUCACACUAACCCCCACACUUACAUCCACACCAACCUCCCCCUCUGCAUUUCUAACAGGUUCCUAGGUCCUGCUGAUGCUGUUGGUUGGGGACCAUACCUUUAGGACCACGGCAGUUGGGAACCACAGACCCGUGGACUGUCUCUUACCAACGACUGGCCCUGCCCCCCGAGAACUGCACCAUGCUCUCGAGUGUGGCUCUGGACCACGCGGAUGCCUGAGCCGACGUCCUCUCCUUAGUCCUACUGUCCUCCUUCAGGGGCGCAGCGUCUGACCCCGGGGAUAGCUCUGCCCUUCCAGAAAGCCCCUGACCCAUCGGCUCCUGCUACCCUGAGCUCCCUGGGUUUUUCGUGCUCCUUACUUCCAGUGGCUUUCCUGUCCGUCCUCCCAGCCUUUCUCCUCCCAGGCUGGUCCCUCUGUCUUUCUCUCCCAGAUAUCACACCCAUGCCUAUGGUCUCACUCUUCAUUUCCAGGCAGAUGGCUUCCAAAUCUCUGGUGUGGUGUCUCCAUGUCAUGGUGAACACCAUGAAGGCAGAGAGGCCAGGGACUUGGCCGAGGCCGCCCAGGUCAUCAACGGCAGCGCUGGGGUGACGUGAGCCCACGCUGGUGCCCACCACAGGGACAUAGGUUAGCCUCCGUGUUUGCUCUGUUUACUGCAUUAAAGCCUCCAUAUAUUUUAGUGUGUAAGAAAAGAAACGUCCCCCACAUUGCCAUGUAUGACAGCUGUCCUGGGGUUCUGGGGACAGUGGCUCACUUGAGGGGUGCUUGAACCAGAACGUCUGAGGUCAGUGCCGGUCCCGGACCUCGUUGGCUCUGGGAACAAGUGUCUCAGCGAGGGGUAGCGGCGAGGUGAUGCCCGUGGGGUGAUGCCCGUGGGGCGGCUGUGCCCAUACUUGGCUCCCGGAGAUUGUCCUCGCAUGGUCUCAAUCACACAGACUCAGUCACUUUGCAAAGUACAAACAAAAUAAAAGGAAACUCAGACAUUUUGCUUUUACUUUUACAAAAGUAGUUGAGGUUAUUGUUCUCACUGUGAAUAAAAUCUGUUUAUCUGGUA
This is a long non-coding RNA of Lutra lutra (Eurasian river otter), 2527 nucleotides long. RefSeq lists it as uncharacterized. NCBI's taxonomy places the organism in Eukaryota, Metazoa, Chordata, Mammalia, Carnivora, Mustelidae. The transcript is spliced from 2 exons. The record is from RefSeq and is a predicted model, not a curated record.